This 253-nucleotide ribosomal RNA is filed under the name uncultured bacterium. Its description in RNAcentral is "partial 16S ribosomal RNA". It matches the Rfam family "Bacterial small subunit ribosomal RNA", at positions 524 to 776 of the family's 1533-position model. The record is from RNAcentral.
UACGGAGGGAGCUAGCGUUGUUCGGAAUUACUGGGCGUAAAGCGCGCGUAGGCGGCUUAUCAAGUCAGAGGUGAAAGCCCGGGGCUCAACCCCGGAACUGCCUUUGAAACUAGUAAGCUAGAAUCUUGGAGAGGUCAGUGGAAUUCCGAGUGUAGAGGUGAAAUUCGUAGAUAUUCGGAAGAACACCAGUGGCGAAGGCGACUCACUGGACAAGUAUUGACGCUGAGGUACGAAAGCGUGGGGAGCAAACAGG